RNAcentral lists this ribosomal RNA (1250 nucleotides) under uncultured Bacteroidota bacterium. Its description in RNAcentral is "bacterial SSU rRNA". It matches the Rfam family "Bacterial small subunit ribosomal RNA", at positions 111 to 1360 of the family's 1533-position model. Lineage: Bacteria; Pseudomonadati; Bacteroidota. The record is from RNAcentral.
UAACGCGUAUGCAACCUGCCCUAUACCGGGGGGCAGCCAGGUAAUACUGGAGUAAUACCCCGUGGUGUCGUGGGGUCGCAUGGCUUCACGAUGAUAGCCGUGAGGCGGUGUAGGAUGGGCAUGCGUGCCAUUAGCUAGACGGUGGGGUAACGGCCCACCGUGGCGACGAUGGCUAGGGGGCCUGAGAGGGUGACCCCCCACACUGGGACUGAGACACGGCCCAGACUCCUACGGGAGGCAGCAGUGAGGAAUAUUGGUCAAUGGAGGGAACUCUGAACCAGCCAUGCCGCGUGCCGGAUGACGGCCCUUCGGGUUGUAAACGGCUUUUGUACGCGAGGAAUAAGGGUCUCGUGAGGCUCGAUGCCCGUAGCGUACGAAUAAGGAUCGGCUAACUCCGUGCCAGCAGCCGCGGUAAUACGGAGGAUCCGAGCGUUAUCCGGAUUUACUGGGUUUAAAGGGUGCGUAGGCGGGCCUUCAAGUCUGAUGUGAAAUGGUAUGGCUUAACCAUGCUCUUGCGUUGGAAACUGUAGGUCUUGAAUGGGGUCGAGGAUGGCGGAAUGCGUGGUGUAGCGGUGAAAUGCUUAGAUAUCACGUGGAAGGCCGAUUGCGUAGGCAGCUGUCCAGACCCUGAUUGACGCUGAUGCACGAAAGCGUGGGGAUCGAACGGGAUUAGAUACCCCGGUAGUCCACGCCGUAAACGAUGAUAACUGGCUAUUGGUCCGUAUUGGGUCAGUGGCUGCGCGAAAGCAUUAAGUUAUCCACCUGGGGAGUACGGCCGCAAGGCUGAAACUCAAAGGAAUUGACGGGGGCCCGCACAAGCGGAGGAACAUGUGGUUUAAUUCGAUGAUACGCGAGGAACCUUACCUGGGCUCGAACGGCGGAGCGGCCGGUGUGAAAGCAUCGGGGCCUUCACGGGCGCUUCGUCGAGGUGCUGCAUGGUUGUCGUCAGCUCGUGCCGUGAGGUGUCGGGUUAAGUCCCAUAACGAGCGCAACCCCUGCCGCCAGUUGCCAGCGAGAGAGUUGGGGACUCUGGCGGGACUGCCGUCGCAAGGCGUGAGGAGGGUGGGGAUGACGUCAAAUCAGCACGGCCCUUAUGUCCAGGGCGACACACGUGUUACAAUGGUCGGUACAGCGGGUAGCCAUCCGGCGACGGAGCGCCAAUCCCGAAAGCCGAUCUCAGUUCGGAUCGGAGUCUGCAACCCGACUCCGUGAAGCUGGAUUCGCUAGUAAUCGCGCAUCAGCCACGGCGC